RNAcentral lists this ribosomal RNA (243 nucleotides) under uncultured Actinomycetales bacterium. Its description in RNAcentral is "partial 16S ribosomal RNA". It matches the Rfam family "Bacterial small subunit ribosomal RNA", at positions 88 to 334 of the family's 1533-position model. The record is from RNAcentral. Lineage: Bacteria; Bacillati; Actinomycetota; Actinomycetes; Actinomycetales.
UACUCGAGUGGCGAACGGGUGAGUAACACGUGGGUGGAUCUGCCCUGCACUUCGGGAUAAGCUUGGGAAACUGGGUCUAAUACCGGAUAGGAGCCAUCUUUAGUGUGGUGGUUGGAAAGUUUUUCGGUGUAGGAUGAGCUCGCGGCCUAUCAGCUUGUUGGUGGGGUAAUGGCCUACCAAGGCGGCGACGGGUAGCCGGCCUGAGAGGGUGUACGGCCACAUUGGGACUGAGAUACGGCCCAG